RNAcentral lists this ribosomal RNA (542 nucleotides) under Hepatozoon sp. Its description in RNAcentral is "SSU rRNA". It matches the Rfam family "Eukaryotic small subunit ribosomal RNA", at positions 217 to 754 of the family's 1831-position model. The record is from RNAcentral. Lineage: Eukaryota; Apicomplexa; Hepatozoidae.
AAAAGCCAAUGCAUGCUUUUACAGUAUGAAAAUUGGUGAUUUAUAAUAACUUAGCAAAUCGCAUAGUGAAAACAGGCGAUAAAUCAUUCAAGUUUCUGACCUAUCAGCUUUCGACGGUAUGGUAUUGGCUUACCGUGGCAGUGACGGUUAACGGGGGAUUAGGGUUCGAUUCCGGAGAGGGAGCCUGAGAAACGGCUACCACAUCUAAGGAAGGCAGCAGGCGCGCAAAUUACCCAAUUCUAACAGUUUGAGAGAGGUAGUAACAAGAAAUAACAAUACAAGGCAGUUAAAAUGCUUUGUAAUUGGAAUGAUAGAAAUUUAAACCCUUUUUAAAGUAUCAAUUGGAGGGCAAGUCUGGUGCCAGCAGCCGCGGUAAUUCCAGCUCCAAUAGCGUAUAUUAAAAUUGUUGCAGUUAAAAAGCUCGUAGUUGAAGUUCUGCUAAAAGUAACCGGUCUGCUUUGAAUAAAAGUGGUAUCUUGGUAUGUAUUUAGCAAUGAUGUCCUUUGAAGUGUUUUUUACUUUAUUGUAAUAAAGCAUAUUCA